GACGAACGCUGGCGGCGUGCUUAACACAUGCAAGUCGAACGGAAAGGCCCUGCUUGCCGGGUACUCGAGUGGCGAACGGGUGAGUAACACGUGGGUGAUCUGCCCUGCACUUCGGGAUAAGCUUGGGAAACUGGGUCUAAUACCGGAUAGGAGCCAUCUUUAGUGUGGUGGUUGGAAGGUUUUUUCGGUGUAGGAUGAGCUCGCGGCCUAUCAGCUUGUUGGUGGGGUAAUGGCCUACCAAGGCGGCGACGGGUAGCCGGCCUGAGAGGGUGUACGGCCACAUUGGGACGGAGAUACGGCCCAGACUCCUACGGGAGGCAGCAGUGGGGAAUAUUGCACAAUGGGCGCAAGCCUGAUGCAGCGACGCCGCGUGGGGGAUGAAGGCCUUCGGGUUGUAAACUCCUUUCGCUAGGGACGAAGCCUUUUUGUGACGGUACCUAGAGAAGAAGCACCGGCUAACUACGUG
RNAcentral lists this ribosomal RNA (466 nucleotides) under uncultured bacterium. RNAcentral describes it as "partial 16S ribosomal RNA". It matches the Rfam family "Bacterial small subunit ribosomal RNA", at positions 28 to 507 of the family's 1533-position model. The record is from RNAcentral.